RNAcentral lists this ribosomal RNA (372 nucleotides) under uncultured Glomeromycotina. RNAcentral describes it as "eukaryotic LSU rRNA". Lineage: Eukaryota; Fungi; Glomeromycota. The record is from RNAcentral.
UUGAAAGGGAAACGAUUGAAGUCAGUCGUACCUGCGGGUAAUCAGCCUUUUGGGCAUGAUUCUGUGGAGCGUGAGGAGUUAAACGCCUUCAUGCCUGCAUAUUCGUGUACAUUGGGUGUACUUGCCUGUGUGGUUAGUUAACAUCAAUUUUGGUUAUCAUAAAAUGGUUGGAGGAAUGUAGCUUCGAUUUCGAUUGAAGUGUUAUAGCCUUCGGCAGAUGUGAUGAUCGGGAUUGAGGAUUGCAACGGAUACCCUUCGGGGCUACCUGUCUGGUCUCUGAUCGUUGUUCUGGUGCCGAAAGCGUGCUUACGGUUAUCAAAGUCGAUGGUCAAUAGGUUAGAACGGGUUAAAUUCGUUAAGGAUGUUGACGUA